Molecule: long non-coding RNA, 1377 nt
Organism: Cryptotermes secundus
Lineage: Eukaryota; Metazoa; Arthropoda; Insecta; Blattodea; Kalotermitidae
Exons: 4
Source: RefSeq, a predicted model, not a curated record
AAGUUCAUGUAGGUAGGCCUAGGCCCACUGGGGCUGUAGUGCCAAGGAAAAAGAAAACAUGAAAGAUGGCUGCAUAAAUAAAGUUUGUGAUGCUGCUACCCGGAGAACAACCGCAGUUCCUGAGGUCUGGCAAUGCGAACUGUGCUAAACCUAUCAUAACCGCGGAUCCUGUAACGGCUUUAGUGACACUGAAGCUCUCUUCAGAGGCAAAAUUGUGGACGUAAGAGAUGAGGACAGAUGGGAAGAUUAAGAAAAUGUUUUGCUCCUGGGUGUGUGUCAUGCAGUGAGCACACUGAAAUAAAAUUCUUCUAUUUUCCCAGGGAUUCAUCACGGGUUUUGAGACAGGGCUAUGGUAUGGGCAGGAGGAGUUGGAUUAUCCUGUACUACUGAUUCUCCUAGAAUGCUGUACCGCUGAUGACUGAAGCAGCCGGCAGAGGGCCACAGAGAGGAUGAAGAUACUGACAUAUCAGUAAGCCAUUAGGAAAGUAAUGCUUCUUCAUUUUUCCCUUAUAAUGUCCUGCCCAUACCAGCCCUGGAAAUUGACAGAGAGUAGUUAUGGAAUUACUGGAAGAAUAUAUGUGUGCCAACUAGUCACAUGAGCACCAAUAAAUGUUUCAUAAGUUGGAGAAAGUAGCCCUGGUGACAAGCAGUUGCAGUGCAGCACCAGAAACUACUGUGCAGCGAAUGAUAACAUCGUCAUCCACAAUUAAAUUACAUACAAGAGACUUAUUUUGAACUUGAGCUCCAUCUCUUCCCCUCCUUGCAAAUAUGUUUCCUUCGUCUCAGAAUAUUAGAACUUCACUGGGUCAGAGUUCAUUCUGGCCUUUAUCUUCAAGUAAUUAUAUUUCAAUCGAGAAUUGUGUGGGAAAUUGUUUUCUGACACAUGGGUCUUGUUAAUGUGUAGGUAAGAAUGACGAGGCAUUACUUUAUAAUUGACUUGCAAAGUUCAGGUUCUCCACCUCAAUCUGAAACUCUGAGAAGCAGAAUCAGUAUCAGGGUUGAAUGUGGGUAGGACUAUUUAUGUAAUUUCUUUAACUAUUUAAUUUUUGUUACAUUGUUAUUCACUUCUGUUGUUAUAGGUUUAUUCCUUCUCUUGCUUUCGCCAUAUAAUGCUACCUGUACUGGACUGGUGAACAUGAACAAAAGAUUUUCAAUAGUAAUUGCAUUUCUUCAACAUAUAUUAUUAAUUUUUGCUAUAUAAUCGUAUCAUUACUGAACUGGAAUUUGAAUAGAUACCAAAUUUUCAGUAUUCAUUAUAUUUCUUUGAGAUAUGCUAUUAUUUCCGCCAUAUUAUUCUGCCCAGUGAUGAACUGGUGAAGAUGAAUAUAUCAGAUUUUCUUACAUCAUUAAAUGCAGUCUUAAUCUUGCUGACAAAAG